This 434-nucleotide long non-coding RNA is filed under the name Salvia miltiorrhiza (redroot sage). RNAcentral describes it as "long non-coding RNA (SMIL_LNC014415)". The record is from RNAcentral. Lineage: Eukaryota; Viridiplantae; Streptophyta; Magnoliopsida; Lamiales; Lamiaceae.
CAAUACACUCAACAAUAUUUUUUCUUAAACCCGUGUCACUCCCUCCUAGGAAGUUCUUUCAUGGACGGAGGGAGUACCAAUCAAGCAUAAAAUUCAUACUAAACACCAAAAAUAUAUGCAUAUAAAUACGCCUAAUCAAACUCCGCCACAUUUAGACAAUGCUCGCCCUCGAGCACAUGAAGAACAGAAAAACAAAAAACAAAAAAAAAACAAGGGAAGAACAAAUUCAAGACUCAAAACAAGACAAGACUAAACUCACAAACUAACAACGACUAGCUAUGGCAACAAUCAUAACAAGCAAAUCUCAAAGUUAGAACAAGAUGCAAUCAUCAUUUUUCCUCAAAUCAUUCUUGGAAUCAACAAAUAUGUGCAUUCACCUUUCAUUCGAGUCAAAAGUGUGCAAAUCAACCCAGUCUCACCAAGUUCGCUCAAUU